Molecule: ribosomal RNA, 400 nt
Filed under: uncultured bacterium
Lineage: Bacteria
Description: bacterial SSU rRNA
Rfam family: Bacterial small subunit ribosomal RNA
Source: RNAcentral
UAGGGAAUAUUGCGCAAUGGGGGAAACCCUGACGCAGCGACGCCGCGUGAGUGAUGAAGGCCUUCGGGUCGUAAAGCUCUGUUGCAAGGGAAAAAUUAAUGAUUGUACUUUGCGAGAAAGGAUCGGCUAACUUCGUGCCAGCAGCCGCGGUAAGACGAGGGAUCCUAGCGUUGUUCGGAAUUAUUGGGCGUAAAGCGGGUGUAGGUGGCUUUACAAGUCAGAUGUGAAAGCCCGGGGCUUAACCCCGGAAGUGCAUUUGAUACUGUUUAGCUUGAGUGCCGGAGAGGUUACUAGAAUUCCUGGUGUAGUGGUGAAAUACGUAGAUAUCAGGAGGAAUACCGGAGGCGAAGGCGGGUAACUAGCCGGACACUGACACUGAGACCCGAAAGCGUGGGGAUCA